GCCUAGGUGGCUCAGUUGGUUAAGCAUCUGACUUCAGCUCAGGUCAUGAUCUCACGGUUUGUGAGUUCGAGCCCCACAUCAGGCG
RNAcentral lists this transfer RNA (85 nucleotides) under Felis catus (domestic cat). It matches the Rfam family "tRNA". From Rfam's summary of the family: Transfer RNA (tRNA) molecules are approximately 80 nucleotides in length. Their secondary structure includes four short double-helical elements and three loops (D, anti-codon, and T loops). Lineage: Eukaryota; Metazoa; Chordata; Mammalia; Carnivora; Felidae. The record is from Rfam by way of RNAcentral.